This 93-nucleotide transfer RNA is filed under the name Mesorhizobium kowhaii. Its description in RNAcentral is "tRNA-Ser". It matches the Rfam family "tRNA". From Rfam's summary of the family: Transfer RNA (tRNA) molecules are approximately 80 nucleotides in length. Their secondary structure includes four short double-helical elements and three loops (D, anti-codon, and T loops). Lineage: Bacteria; Pseudomonadati; Pseudomonadota; Alphaproteobacteria; Hyphomicrobiales; Phyllobacteriaceae. The record is from RNAcentral.
GGAGGGGUGGCCGAGUGGUCAAGAGGCGCUCCCCUGCUAAGGGAGUAGAGGUCAAAAGCUUCUGGUGGGUUCGAAUCCCAUCCCUCUCCGCCA